GACGAACGCUGGCGGCGUGCUUAACACAUGCAAGUCGAGCGGUAAGGCCCUUCGGGGUACGACGAGCGGCGAACGGGUGAGUAACACGUGGGUGACCUGCCCUUAGCUCUGGGAUAAGCCUGGGAAACUGGGUCUAAUACCGGAUAUGACCUCAUGACGCAUGUUGUGGGGUGGAAAGCCUUGUGCGGCUAGGGAUGGGCCCGCGGCCUAUCAGCUUGUUGGUGGGGUGAUGGCCUACCAAGGCGACGACGGGUAGCCGGCCUGAGAGGGCGACCGGCCACACUGGGACUGAGACACGGCCCAGACUCCUACGGGAGGCAGCAGUGGGGAAUCUUGCGCAAUGGGCGAAAGCCUGACGCAGCGACGCCGCGUGAGGGAUGACGGCCUGGUUGUAACC
This 397-nucleotide ribosomal RNA is filed under the name uncultured bacterium. Its description in RNAcentral is "bacterial SSU rRNA". It matches the Rfam family "Bacterial small subunit ribosomal RNA", at positions 28 to 430 of the family's 1533-position model. The record is from RNAcentral.